RNAcentral lists this ribosomal RNA (410 nucleotides) under uncultured microorganism. RNAcentral's name for it is "bacterial SSU rRNA". It matches the Rfam family "Bacterial small subunit ribosomal RNA", at positions 509 to 917 of the family's 1533-position model. The record is from RNAcentral.
CAGCCGCCGCGGUAAUACGUAGGGUGCGAGCGUUAAUCGGAUUUACUGGGCGUAAAGCGUGCGCAGGCGGCCCGUUAAGACAGGUGUGAAAUCCCUGGGCUCAACCUAGGAAUUGCGCUUGUGACUGGCGGGCUCGAGUACGGUAGAGGGGGGUGGAAUUCCUGGUGUAGCAGUGAAAUGCGUAGAGAUCAGGAGGAACACCGAUGGCGAAGGCAGCCCCCUGGGCCUGUACUGACGCUCAUGCACGAAAGCGUGGGGAGCAAACAGGAUUAGAUGCCCUGGUAGUCCACGCCCUAAACGAUGGGUACUAGCCGUUUGGUGCGCGAUAGCGCUGGGUGGCGAAGCUAACGCGUGAAGUACCCCGCCUGGGGAGUACGGCCGCAAGGUUGAAACUUAAAGGAAUUGGCGGG